RNAcentral lists this ribosomal RNA (253 nucleotides) under uncultured bacterium. RNAcentral's name for it is "partial 16S ribosomal RNA". It matches the Rfam family "Bacterial small subunit ribosomal RNA", at positions 524 to 776 of the family's 1533-position model. The record is from RNAcentral.
UACGAAGGGGGCUAGCGUUACUCGGAUUGACUGGGCGUAAAGGGCGCGUAGGCGGAUGGUACAGUCAGACGUGAAAUUCCUGGGCUCAACCUGGGGGCUGCGUUUGAUACGUGCUGUCUGGAGUUCGGAAGAGGGUCGUGGAAUUCCCAGUGUAGAGGUGAAAUUCGUAGAUAUUGGGAAGAACACCGGUGGCGAAGGCGGGUCUCUGGGCCGAUACUGACGCUGAGGAGCGAAAGCGUGGGGAGCAAACAGG